Molecule: long non-coding RNA, 1125 nt
Filed under: Cyanistes caeruleus (blue tit)
Lineage: Eukaryota; Metazoa; Chordata; Aves; Passeriformes; Paridae
Description: lncRNA (ENSCCEG00000011722.1)
Source: RNAcentral
AUGCCCUCACGCACCGGACCAAAGCAUUCGGAAGCACAUGGAAUGCCUGAUACGCUCAGCUGCACAGACAUCUUACAGGAGGACAAAGUCCACAGGCUAUCUGAAGAGGCUCCAGCAGCCUGGGAGCCUUUGUCCAUGGAGGCCACCGGCUUCUGUCCCGCGGCAGCACCACCGGAGCCAGUGGUAAACAGCUCAGGACCUUGGUCUGCCACAGCCACAGGAGGCGAUGGGGGAGGGCCGGCUCCAGCCGCAGGCUUGGGCGAUGCCCGGGAACCUGAGGCGGGGUGGGUUGGAGCCAGCUCGGCACAGCUCACCUCCAGCGCUGGGAGGGACCGAGGCGCCGGUAGAGGCACAGCCUGCGAAGCCACAGCACCGUCCUGCUCUGCUGCCAGGGAACAACCCGGGCUCGCAGGAGGGGAAUCCUGCAGCAUGGGGCCAGCAGAACCUGGCCCAGCGUCCGCACCACUCACAGCACCCAUCCCCACGCCCCAUGAAUCCGGCGCAGGGGGAUCAGCUCUCAGAAUCGCCCCUAACAGCAUUUCUUCAGGGGCGAAAGGUCCAAAAAGCGGCGCUGGCCGCUCCUCCACUGGAAGAAGGUGCGUGUGCACGGCCGCCGGUGCGGAGCCUGGGCCUGUCCCGUCCCCCACCGCGGGGCAGGGCACAGCCCAGCUGCAGCAGGGACAUGGGACCAUCCCUGAGGCAUCCCUCAGGGCUGGCGCGGCCCCCCGUUCAGGCAGCCCCUCAUCGGUCUGUGCCGGGAGGGCACACGAAGGAGGCGACCCCACCCCGGGCUUCCACCGCCGGGGCGCUGGCCGAGGCGGCGUUACACCCCCCGGUUCCGCGGUGCCCCCUACGCCUCACUGGCAAGGAUCCAACCCCGCCUCAGCCCUAUGCCUCCGGGACGUUGGCCACGGCGGGGCUAGGCCCACUGGUCCCGUGAUGACCCCAUUCAACUCGCUGGGCGCGAUCCUGGGGAAGCCAACCUCAGGACCCGAGACACAGCUGCCCCCCAGCUCCGUGCCACCGGGGGAGAGGGAGAGCCCUGCCCCGCUCCCACAGCCAGAGCCAGAGCCAGAGCCAGACCUCUCACCCAGGGCAGAGGAAGCAGCUCUCAAUCUGGCAUAA